Molecule: ribosomal RNA, 1419 nt
Filed under: uncultured bacterium
Lineage: Bacteria
Description: 16S ribosomal RNA
Rfam family: Bacterial small subunit ribosomal RNA
Source: RNAcentral
AGAGUUUGAUCCUGGCUCAGAUUGAACGCUGGCGGCAGGCCUAACACAUGCAAGUCGAGCGGUAGCACAGAGAGCUUGCUCUCGGGUGACGAGCGGCGGACGGGUGAGUAAUGUCUGGGAAACUGCCUGAUGGAGGGGGAUAACUACUGGAAACGGUAGCUAAUACCGCAUAAUGUCGCAAGACCAAAGUGGGGGACCUUCGGGCCUCAUGCCAUCAGAUGUGCCCAGAUGGGAUUAGCUAGUAGGUGGGGUAACGGCUCACCUAGGCGACGAUCCCUAGCUGGUCUGAGAGGAUGACCAGCCACACUGGAACUGAGACACGGUCCAGACUCCUACGGGAGACAGCAGUGGGGAAUAUUGCACAAUGGGCGCAAGCCUGAUGCAGCCAUGCCGCGUGUGUGAAGAAGGCCUUCGGGUUGUAAAGCACUUUCAGCGGGGAGGAAGGCGUUAAGGUUAAUAACCUUGGCGAUUGACGUUACCCGCAGAAGAAGCACCGGCUAACUCCGUGCCAGCAGCCGCGGUAAUACGGAGGGUGCAAGCGUUAAUCGGAAUUACUGGGCGUAAAGCGCACGCAGGCGGUCUGUCAAGUCGGAUGUGAAAUCCCCGGGCUCAACCUGGGAACUGCAUUCGAAACUGGCAGGCUAGAGUCUUGUAGAGGGGGGUAGAAUUCCAGGUGUAGCGGUGAAAUGCGUAGAGAUCUGGAGGAAUACCGGUGGCGAAGGCGGCCCCCUGGACAAAGACUGACGCUCAGGUGCGAAAGCGUGGGGAGCAAACAGGAUUAGAUACCCUGGUAGUCCACGCCGUAAACGAUGUCGAUUUGGAGGUUGUGCCCUUGAGGCGUGGCUUCCGGAGCUAACGCGUUAAAUCGACCGCCUGGGGAGUACGGCCGCAAGGUUAAAACUCAAAUGAAUUGACGGGGGCCCGCACAAGCGGUGGAGCAUGUGGUUUAAUUCGAUGCAACGCGAAGAACCUUACCUGGUCUUGACAUCCACAGAACUUUCCAGAGAUGGAUUGGUGCCUUCGGGAACUGUGAGACAGGUGCUGCAUGGCUGUCGUCAGCUCGUGUUGUGAAAUGUUGGGUUAAGUCCCGCAACGAGCGCAACCCUUAUCCUUUGUUGCCAGCGGUUCGGCCGGGAACUCAAAGGAGACUGCCAGUGAUAAACUGGAGGAAGGUGGGGAUGACGUCAAGUCAUCAUGGCCCUUACGACCAGGGCUACACACGUGCUACAAUGGCAUAUACAAAGAGAAGCGACCUCGCGAGAGCAAGCGGACCUCAUAAAGUAUGUCGUAGUCCGGAUUGGAGUCUGCAACUCGACUCCAUGAAGUCGGAAUCGCUAGUAAUCGUAGAUCAGAAUGCUACGGUGAAUACGUUCCCGGGCCUUGUACACACCGCCCGUCACACCAUGGGAGUGGGUUGCA